AGGAUGGGAUACUCUAUUAGACCUGCGUAAAGCUGAAACUUGUGUAUUAGAUACCUGAACAGACUCGAGCUGUAGAGUGGUGCUUGAGCUUGGUUCUCCAACCUCGCUCAACUCUAUCAUUCUCCCACUAUCUCCGCUAAGAAUGUGUUCCUUCUCAAGGAAUACUACCCUCUUAGCUACAAAGACCUUUUGGUCCUCGAGAUGAUAGAAA
This 211-nucleotide long non-coding RNA is filed under the name Musa acuminata (dwarf banana). RNAcentral's name for it is "long non-coding RNA (MACU_LNC009419)". The record is from RNAcentral. Lineage: Eukaryota; Viridiplantae; Streptophyta; Magnoliopsida; Zingiberales; Musaceae.